UGGGGAAUAUUGGACAAUGGGCGAAAGCCUGAUCCAGCCAUGCCGCGUGUGUGAAGAAGGUCUUCGGAUUGUAAAGCACUUUAAGUUGGGAGGAAGGGCAGUAAGCGAAUACCUUGCUGUUUUGACGUUACCGACAGAAUAAGCACCGGCUAACUCUGUGCCAGCAGCCGCGGUAAUACAGAGGGUGCAAGCGUUAAUCGGAAUUACUGGGCGUAAAGCGCGCGUAGGUGGUUCGUUAAGUUGAAUGUGAAAGCCCCGGGCUCAACCUGGGAACUGCAUCCAAAGCUGGCGAGCUAGAGUAGGGCAGAGGGUGGUGGAAUUUCCUGGGUAGCGGUGAAAUGCGUAGAUAUAGGAAGGAACACCAGUGGCGAAGGCGACCACCUGGGCUCAUACUGACACUGAGGUGCGAAAGCGUGGGGAGCAAACAGG
Molecule: ribosomal RNA, 429 nt
Filed under: Pseudomonadota bacterium
Lineage: Bacteria; Pseudomonadati; Pseudomonadota
Description: Proteobacteria bacterium partial 16S ribosomal RNA
Rfam family: Bacterial small subunit ribosomal RNA
Source: RNAcentral